AUCCUCUGCUUUGGCAGUAUCGUAGCCAAUGAGGUCAAUCCGAGGCGUGAUUAUUGCUAGUUGAAAACUUUUUCUCAACUGC
RNAcentral lists this small nuclear RNA (82 nucleotides) under Alligator mississippiensis (American alligator). Its description in RNAcentral is "U4 spliceosomal RNA". It matches the Rfam family "U4 spliceosomal RNA", at positions 1 to 83 of the family's 138-position model. From Rfam's summary of the family: U4 small nuclear RNA (U4 snRNA) is a component of the major U2-dependent spliceosome. The record is from Rfam by way of RNAcentral. Lineage: Eukaryota; Metazoa; Chordata; Crocodylia; Alligatoridae.